RNAcentral lists this ribosomal RNA (442 nucleotides) under uncultured bacterium. RNAcentral's name for it is "partial 16S ribosomal RNA". It matches the Rfam family "Bacterial small subunit ribosomal RNA", at positions 338 to 795 of the family's 1533-position model. The record is from RNAcentral.
CCUACGGGGGGCAGCAGUAGGGAAUCUUUCACAAUGGGCGAAAGCCUGAUGGAGCAACGCCGCGUGCAGGAUGAAGGCCUUCGGGUUGUAAACUUCUUUUAUAAGCGAGAAAUAUGAAGGUAACUUAUGAAUAAGGAUCGGCUAACUACGUUCCAGCAGCCGCGGUCAUACGUAGGAUCCGAGCAUUAUCCGGAGUGACUGGGUGUAAAGAGUUUCGUAGGUGGCAUAAUAAGUAGCUAGUGAAAUCUGGUGGCUCAACCAUUCAGACUAUUAGCUAAACUGGUAAGCUCGAGACCGUUAGGGGUAAGUGGAAUUUCUAGUGUAGGAGUGAAAUGCGUAGAUAUUAGAAGGAACACCAAUAGCGUAGGCAGGUUACUGGGACGGUUCUGACACUAAGGCACGAAAGCGUAGGGAGCAAACGGGAUUAGAUACCCUUGUAGUC